UGUAGAGAAACAUGAGAGAAAUCACGAAAAAUCUUAUUUAAUCCCACUUUUGUGGACUAUGAAUGGGGUUUUCCUUAUCUUUAUCAUCCUUCUGGUUUUUGCUGCAACUCUUGCGGGAGAAGCCAAUAUGAGGAAAGUUUUUAAUAUUCAAGGACAGAUUGGAGUUAACUUUUAUUGUCUAGGUAAGAGUACCGGGGAAGUAUCAAUUUUAAGGUUAAUGGUUUAUAUAAGUGACCAUGUUGCAGAUAACGUCGACAGCAAGCGGUGAAUAAAAUGUUCUUUAGCAAUAUCAUACCCCAACAUAUGAAGAUCCCAAGUACUCUACAAUGAUAGGCUUCACAAUAAUGGGUGAAUAUAGAUAAGGCUACAGAAGCUAUCCCAUCUAUGAACCCUAAAUCAUUCCCCACAUAGCAAAGUUUCAUAAGACUAACAACGCUUAGAUAACUACACACAAAGCAUGAAGCAACAUUCAUUUCAGCUACCGAUUUAUCUGCAACAGGAUCACUUAUAUAAACCAUUAACCUUAAAACUGAUACUUCCCCGGUACUCUUACCUAGACAAUAAAAGUUAACUCCAAUCUGUCCUUGAAUAUUAAAAACUUUCCUCAUAUUGGCUUCUACCGCAAGAGUUGCAGCCAAAACCAGAAGGAUGAUAAAGAUAAGGAAAACCCCAUUCAUAGUCCACAAAAGUGGGAUUAAAUAAGAUUUUUCGUGAUUUCUCUCAUGUUUCUCUACAAACUUUUCCCACAAACUUGAUCGCUCAAAGUAUAGAAACGCUCUCCA
This 782-nucleotide small RNA is filed under the name Arabidopsis thaliana (thale cress). RNAcentral describes it as "putative long intergenic non-coding RNA". The record is from RNAcentral. Lineage: Eukaryota; Viridiplantae; Streptophyta; Magnoliopsida; Brassicales; Brassicaceae.